GGUUAAGCGACUAAGCGUACACGGUGGAUGCCCUGGCAGUCAGAGGCGAUGAAGGGCGUGCUAAUCUGCGAUAAGCGCCGGUAAGGUGAUAUGAACCGUUAUAACCGGCGAUACCCGAAUGGGGAAACCCAGUGUGACUCGUCACACUAUCAUUAACUGAAUCCAUAGGUUAAUGAGG
RNAcentral lists this ribosomal RNA (178 nucleotides) under Salmonella enterica subsp. enterica serovar Agona str. SA-2. Its description in RNAcentral is "partial 23S ribosomal RNA". It matches the Rfam family "Bacterial large subunit ribosomal RNA", at positions 1 to 179 of the family's 2925-position model. The record is from RNAcentral. Lineage: Bacteria; Pseudomonadati; Pseudomonadota; Gammaproteobacteria; Enterobacterales; Enterobacteriaceae.